RNAcentral lists this ribosomal RNA (401 nucleotides) under Aulosira sp. K53. RNAcentral's name for it is "bacterial SSU rRNA". It matches the Rfam family "Bacterial small subunit ribosomal RNA", at positions 373 to 788 of the family's 1533-position model. The record is from RNAcentral. Lineage: Bacteria; Bacillati; Cyanobacteriota; Cyanophyceae; Nostocales; Fortieaceae.
GGGCGAAAGCCUGACGGAGCAAUACCGCGUGAGGGAGGAAGGCUCUUGGGUUGUAAACCUCUUUUCUCAGGGAAGAAAAAAAUGACGGUACCUGAGGAAUAAGCAUCGGCUAACUCCGUGCCAGCAGCCGCGGUAAUACGGAGGAUGCAAGCGUUAUCCGGAAUGAUUGGGCGUAAAGCGUCCGCAGGUGGCGAUGAAAGUCUGCUGUUAAAGAGUGAGGCUCAACCUCAUAAAAGCAGUGGAAACUACAUAGCUAGAGUACGUUCGGGGCAGAGGGAAUUCCUGGUGUAGCGGUGAAAUGCGUAGAGAUCAGGAAGAACACCGGUGGCGAAAGCGCUCUGCUAGGCCUGUACUGACACUGAGGGACGAAAGCUAGGGGAGCGAAUGGGAUUAGAUACCCC